CUGAAGCGGUUGCCGUCGACCAAGUCUUCUGGGCAGAUGUGGAGGCGUAUCACUCAUCCGCCUUCCUCCGAGGUGGACGCGUCUGGGGAUAGUCCUUCGCAGGCCAGUGGGAAUGAGGCUGCUGGUUGCAUCUCCAGUGCUCCCCUGCCGGUUGGCGUCCGCCCCAAGAGAAAGCAGGCUAGGAAGCGACGUUCCAGAGCGAAACCUUCUGGUGCCCCACCCCCUUCUUCCUCGGAUCGUCCAGUCUGCAUGGCGGCCACCGCUGCUUUGGUAACCCCGGUGCACCACGUUCCUCCGUGUAUCCUGGGAUGGAGCCACCAAAUGACGAGAGCAGAGGAUGAUCUUCAAUACGCGGUAAUGGUGACUGUGAUCAGCGAUCGGUCUUCGGUCCGGGUUUCGGAGAUUGCUGAGCUGCUUGCCCCAAGGAUGGAAAUGGAAGCUAUUUCUCUGGUGUUGCGGAGGGUUUCAGCGGCAAAUUAUAUUCUUGUCCUCCCAUGUCGUGACAAGGUUGAGGAGUUGGCUGGCAGAUGGGCUACUCUCAGAGCUGGGUCUUUUUCUGUGGUUUGUAAGAAAUGGUCUCGUCUCAUGGAGUCCAGGGGCGCCUUACUCCCGGUGUUGAUCAAUAUUGAGCUCCAGGGAAUUCCUAUACAUGCUUGGGAGACAUGCACCGUGGAUCAUUUGCUAAACCCUUUUGCGUGGAUUCACCAAGUCCACCCUGAUACUCUGAACCUGAAGGAUGUGGCCGUUUUCCGCUGCUCCGCGUGGUGUUUGGACCCCUCUGCUAUUCCUUCUUCUAAAGAGCUUUGGAUUGUAGAACCUCCUUUUGCUGUUGAGGGUGAUCCUGCAGGAAAACGAGUGCUGGUUUACUCUGUGAAUAUUGCGGUUUCGAUCACUCUCCGGCAGGAUGGCUCCGGUCCAGUUCUUUGUUCUGAGGAUCUUGAUGAUGAGGAUCCCUCUCCUCGUAGAAGGCGUCUCAUCUCGCCUUCCCAUGAGUUUGUUCAGGGGCAUCAUGCUAGGGGUCAGAGAUCGGAGCGUCGUUCAGUUCACGACCGGAUAGGCCCAAGAGUAGGAAAUGGGAAUCAAACGUAUGAUUGUUCUCAGGUCUUAGUCGUUGAGGCUGAGCUGGUGGAAUUCAGCAACAUGGAGACCAGAGAAGUUGAUGUCCAGAUUCAAAAUCAUAGUCCUGUGGCUUCUUCCCGCGCUGUCUCUGACCCGCUGGUAUCAACAGUGGUCCAGCAACAAGUUACGGUCUGUAGCAGGUCUGCCGAGUGCUCCAGCUUGCAAGGGGGUGGACAGUUUUCUGUUCAUGAGUGCCCUGGCAGUGGGCAGAUGAUUGGGUGUCCUGAGAAUUUCUGUCAGAUUGGAAGUCAGCAGGGGGGUGGGCAGAUUUCUGUGCUUAAAUGUCCUGGCAAUGGGCAGAUGAACGGAUGUCAUGAGGAUCACAAUCAGAUUGGAAGUCAGCAGGAUUUUGUUUUGGCUGGAAAUAUGGGCUCUGUGGCUGCAUGCGAGGUGUUGCCUCCCAGGGAGUCUCCUGUGGCUGCCACCUCCCCUCCUUUGCUCUUCCGCCCAAAACCUAUUCAAGUAUACUUUCGGUGA
Molecule: unclassified non-coding RNA, 1596 nt
Filed under: Zea mays
Lineage: Eukaryota; Viridiplantae; Streptophyta; Magnoliopsida; Poales; Poaceae
Description: misc RNA Zm00001eb194390
Source: RNAcentral